UGGGGAAUAUUGGACAAUGGUGGGAACCCUGAUCCAGCCAUGCCGCGUGUGUGAAGAAGGCCUUAUGGUUGUAAAGCACUUUAAGCGAGGAGGAGGGUACUGGUAUUAAUACUACCAGGUACUGGACGUUACUCGCAGAAUAAGCACCGGCUAACUCUGUGCCAGCAGCCGCGGUAAUACAGAGGGUGCGAGCGUUAAUCGGAUUUACUGGGCGUAAAGCGUGCGUAGGCGGCUAAUUGAGUCGGAUGUGAAAUCCCCGAGCUUAACUUGGGAAUUGCAUUCGAUACUGGUUAGCUAGAGUGUGGGAGAGGAUGGUAGAAUUCCAGGUGUAGCGGUGAAAUGCGUAGAGAUCUGGAGGAAUACCGAUGGCGAAGGCAUCCAUCUGGCCUAAUACUGACGCUGAGGUACGAAAGCAUGGGGAGCAAACAGG
Molecule: ribosomal RNA, 430 nt
Filed under: Pseudomonadota bacterium
Lineage: Bacteria; Pseudomonadati; Pseudomonadota
Description: Proteobacteria bacterium partial 16S ribosomal RNA
Rfam family: Bacterial small subunit ribosomal RNA
Source: RNAcentral